Molecule: ribosomal RNA, 459 nt
Filed under: uncultured bacterium
Lineage: Bacteria
Description: partial 16S ribosomal RNA
Rfam family: Bacterial small subunit ribosomal RNA
Source: RNAcentral
CCUACGGGCGGCAGCAGUGAGGAAUAUUGGUCCAUGGGCGGAAGCCUGAACCAGCCAAGUAGCGUGCGGGAUGAAGGCCCUACGGGUCGUAAACCGCUUUUGCACGGGGAUAACACCCUCCACUUGUGGAGGUCUGUAGGUACCGUGCGAUUAAGGGCCGGCUAAUUCCGUGCCAGCAGCCGCGGUAAUACGGAAGGCCCGAGCGUUAUCCGGAUUUAUUGGGUUUAAAGGGUGCGUAGGCGGACGCUUAAGUCAGCGGUAAAAUUGCGGGGCUCAACCUCGUCGAGCCGUUGAGACUGGGUGCCUUGAGUGGGCGAGAAGUACGCGGAAUGCGUGGUGUAGCGGUGAAAUGCAUAGAUAUCACGCAGAACUCCGAUUGCGAAGGCAGCGUACCGGCGCCCAACUGACGCUGAAGCACGAAGGCGUGGGUAUCGAACAGGAUUAGAUACCCCUGUAGUC